ACCUGGGUGGCUCAGUUGGUUGAGUGUCUGACUUUGGCUCAGGUCAUGAUCUCAUGGUUUGUGGGUUCGAGCCCCACAUUGGGUU
Molecule: transfer RNA, 85 nt
Filed under: Felis catus (domestic cat)
Lineage: Eukaryota; Metazoa; Chordata; Mammalia; Carnivora; Felidae
Rfam family: tRNA
About the family: Transfer RNA (tRNA) molecules are approximately 80 nucleotides in length.
Source: Rfam by way of RNAcentral